This 447-nucleotide ribosomal RNA is filed under the name uncultured bacterium. RNAcentral's name for it is "bacterial SSU rRNA". It matches the Rfam family "Bacterial small subunit ribosomal RNA", at positions 28 to 512 of the family's 1533-position model. The record is from RNAcentral.
GAUGAACGCUGGCGGUCUGCUUAACACAUGCAAGUCGAACGAACUCUUCGGAGUGAGUGGCGGACGGGUGAGUAACGCGUGAGAAUCUGCCUGUGGGUCGGGGACAACCACUGGAAACGGUGGCUAAUACCGGAUGAGCCGAAAGGUAAAAGAUUUAUUGCCCACAGAUGAGCUCGCGUCUGAUUAGCUAGUUGGUAAGGUAAAAGCGUACCAAGGCGACGAUCAGUAGCUGGUCUGAGAGGAUGAGCAGCCACACGUGGGACUGAGACACGGCCCAGACUCCUACGGGAGGCAGCAGUGGGUAAUUUUCCGCAAUGGGGCGAAAGCCUGGACGGAGCGAAGACCGCGGUGGGGGAGGUAAGGGUUUUUGGAGUCGUUAAACCCCUUUGUCAAGGAGAAGCUCUGACGGUACUUGACGAAUAAGCCUCGGCUAACUCCGUGCCCAGC